UGGCAGACAGAAGAUUAAACAGAGUUAACAUAUGACUCAGCAAUUUUAAUCCUAGGUCUACACCCAAGAGAAAUAUAUAUCCGCACAAAAAUACAUACACAAAUGAUAGAAGCUUUAUUCAUAUUAGCUCCAAAGUGGAAAGAACUCCAAGUCCCAUCAACUGAUGAGUAAGCAAAACAUCUAAUAUCCAUACAAUGGAAUCUUAUUCAGCCAUAAAAAGAAAUGAAGCACUGAUACAUGGAUGAACCUUGAAAACAUGAUGCUAAGUGAAAGAAGCCUGACACAAAAGACUACACAUGAUGUGAUUCCAUUUAUAUGAAAUGUCCAGAAUAGACACAUCCAUAAAGUAGAUUAGUAAUUGCUCAGGGCUAGGGGUUGGAAGAGAUGGGGAGUGACUGGUAAUGGGUAUGGAGUUUCCUCCUGGGGUGAUGAAAUGUUCUAAGAUUGUUUGUGGUCUAGGAUUGCAUAACCAUGUGACUAAACUAAAACCAACUGACUUGUACAACUGAAAUAGAUGAAGAGCAUGGAACAUGAAUUCUAUCUCAAUAAAGGUGUUACCAAAAAAGGGGAAUGAGAUAAAGUGGAAUGGGAAAUAUUACAGAAUGCUGGUGGGGAUGGUUCAGAAGAGGGAGAGGUUAAUGCUGUAGAAAAAAAAAAAAAAAAAAAAGAGGAUAAUUACGAAGCAAGUCCUUAAGUAGCAAGAACAGAGCAAGAGGUAGGGAGAGGCAGUGCCCACAUGGAGGUCGACCUGUAUAGCAGGAGGUGAAGCAAAGCAUGGGCACAGGGAGUGACACACCUUUGAUGCUGGGGCUGGAGGAUUACAGAAAACAGGAGUGAAUGGUCCUCUAAGAGAGAAGGGGAGUAAUGAGGGAAAUUUAGUGGUAGGCAAUGCUAGGGUCUUCCAAGAGGUUUGUGGUCACAAAUUUAGCAAAUAUGGUGAGACCAUUUAACAACAAAUAUCCCCUGAAUGGCUGGUCAAGUUUAAGAUGCUGAGGCUGAACAGAGAAACUAGCAACCAGAAUCCAGAAGGUCAGGGGCAGCUUUGAUGGUCUCCCUUAGAGCCUUCUACCAAUCAGAGGAUGCAUGCUUGAGCAAUUUUGCCAAUACAAGGAACCAAGGUGGGGCCAAAGCAGGCCCUUGCCGGCUCCUGCGUGGAGGAGAGAAAACGAAGGUGUGUGGGAUUCAGCGGCAAAGCUUGCCCCAAGGAAAACAGUGGGGAUUGGGUUUUAGAGGCUAGCAGGGUUUUAGAGCUAGUCCCCAGUCAGUUCCCAGAAGACAAGCCAUCGAAUUAACCUAACGAAGCACAGGAUAGCACAGCCUCAGACCAGCACAGCUGAACACAAUCUUCUUGGCAGGCAGAGAAAAGAAAUGUCAAAAUAAGGCACGGAGGAUGGAGGGAGGGAGGCUGCUUGAAUUGGAAGGGGUGGGGAGAAAGAAAAAAAUCCUGGCCCGAGACACUGAUAAAGCACCCUCUUUCCACCCACUGACACACAGCCUGAGGAUGUGUCCCAGAGCCUCAGUGUAAAGGCAUCAAACCACAGAUUAGUACGCACACUGCAUGAUGCUUUAUGAGUUUCUGAGCAUUUGCAGGCAUAGCCUCUCAUUCAGUAUUCGCAGAAGUCCCAAGACAGCAAAACGAGGUCAGCCAGGCGAUAAGCGACGGAGCGUUAAUACAUUCCAGAUCUGAUGGCUCCAAGGCCAGUGCUCCUUCCACAAGCAUUCACUGCCAUCCAGAGAGGCUUUCUCCACUAACUGGAGUACAACCAUCAGAAGGUUCCCUGUGUCCCAGAACCCUGCCAACCUAACAACCCAGCAAACGCCCUGCUUCCUGAGUGUGGCAACAGCCAACCCUGGCAGAAGAUGCCCUGGAGUGCCUGUCAUCAUCUGGAGGAAGAGACCUGACAGCCCCUCCCUUAUACUCAACUCAAGCCCAGAGAAGCACGUCCUUGAUGUGUCUGAAAACUGGCUGCUUCACUUCCACAUGCUUGGCUAACUGAAGUCCUCACAUUGCAACCUGCUGGCGCCAGCCUCUGGCAUAAACCCCUCACUGUUACCCUAGUGACUCAGUCUACCACGCUCAUCAAUUACGAUCCCUCCAGCAGCCUCUGCUUCAGGCGCUCCUGCCUUCCUGCAGGACACUCACUCUGACAUGCUGUCCAGUCUGUGAUCUCAGCUCUGGUACUUCUGAUGCUGCCCAGAGUUAGCAGGCAGGAAAUCAGAAAGUGAGAACUUACGCAUUUCUUCCAUCCUAUGAUCAUCACUCUGGUAACUUUCAAGGAAGUCCCAGAGAAAUAAACCAUCAGUCUCCAUCGCAAGAGGAUGGAUGCUGCCCCCAAAGGAACAGGCUCUAAGGGGAGGAAAGCUGGGUUGUGAAGCAUGGGGAAGGGGGACAGCUGGGAUAUGGGGUCCCAGCUCUGCUCCAAACCUGCCCCUUAAGAGUCCCAGUGUGGUUUCUUGGUGUGUAGGGGUGGUGGAGGGGGAAGUCCAGGAAUUUGCUAUACACAUCUACAGCAGGAAUAAAGCAGUCUAGGAAAACAAUACUAUCUCAUUAGCAAGGCAGGAGUUCCCUGGUGGAGAGUGUUUAAGGAUCCAGUAUUGGUGCAGGUUUGAUCCCUGGCCCAGGAACUUUUGCAUGUUGCGGGUGGGGAAAAAAAAAAAAAAAAAAAAGCAAGUCAAAGCUCAACUUUGAGGAGAGGUGGGUGGAUGGCGCAGGGAACUGAAAAUUGUCUAAAAACACAGAACCACCUGUGUGAGAAAAGCAAGGGCAGUUCCUGUUAGGUUCCUACUGAUCAGUCUCUCCAGAUUACUUCUUAUUUGCAUUUUAUUCAGUCUGGUAGUUUUUCUUUUCUUUCAAAUUUAGGGCCGAACCCAUGAAACAUGGAGGUUCCCAGGCUAGGGAUUAAAUCAGAGCUAUGGCUGCCAGCCUACGCCCCAGCCACAGCAACGUGGGAUCCAAGAUCCAAGCCGCAUCUGCGACCUAUAUACCACAGCUCACUACAACACUGGAUCCCUGACGCACUGAGUGAGGCCAGGGAGUGAACCUGCAUCCUCAUGGAUACUAGUCGGAUUUGUUUCUGCUAUACCACAACAGGAACUCCACUAAUUUUUCUUUAGUUCUCUUUUCUUUUCCUAACUUGUGUUGGAUUGACACACUACCCCCACUCCCAAUAUUUUUCCUUCUGGAUUGGAAAUUCUUUCUUCUAACUAACUAAAGUGGUUAUCUUAAAUUGUUAGCAGAUACAUAUUUUCCUAAUGAGGUCUACAGUUUUCAGCAGCGGUAUUUCCCUUUAACAAGGCAGAAAUGUGAUGUGAUUUAACAAUGAAAUUCCCUUCCUUAUUCUACCUGAUUCUUCCUUGAUAAUGUGGCCAACGAUUUUAGUUUUCCUAUUUUAAAACUAAAACAAACUAGAUUCUGGGUUUCUGUUCAGUGCGUUUUGCCAUCUGUGGCCGACACUGUUGGUUGCCUACUAGCAGCCAUUCCCCCUUUUUUCUUGCCAAAAGAAUCCUGAUUUUGUUCAGGCAGCAAAGAACCCAGUCCCAGGAGAUAAGAUAAGCCUGUUCCAUUUUACCAGGAAUUGGUCUAAGGAUGAACCAGCUCAGGUCAAUGAAGCAUGAGAUGUCUGCUGGGGCUUCCCUGGAAAGAUUCUCCUUCUUAGAAAAGAGGCACAUUAGAAAGCUUCCUUUCUCUUAGCAUUUCCUACCCUUCCUGCUUAGGAUGCUCUAAGGUGAUAUAAUACCUGGAGCUGCAGCAGCCAUCUUACAACCAUGAGGAGAGAGCUCUUAUACCCUUAUGACAGCAGAGAAGAACAAUGGAAUGACCUAGGGUUCCUCAAGUCAGUACUGGACUAAUGCUCCAAACUUGGAACUCCCUCCCUCCAACUUCUCAUUACAAGCUAGUUAAAUAUCUUCUGGAGUUUAAGUCCCUGUGGGUGACGUGAGCAUCCUGAUACACUGUCUACAGUUAAUUUACCAACGCACAUCAAUUUCUGCACUUGGUUUUGCUGCUAGCAAUCUGCUCCUCUCCCCAAGUUUUCUCCUUAUUGAAAUACAAACCUUUAGUAGUUCUUCUAGCAAGGACGUGUAGGUAAUAAAACUGUCUUAGCAGGUACAGAAAUAUCUUUAUUUCACCUCAUUCUUUUUUUUUUCUUUUCCAGCUGCACUCACAGCAUAUGGAAGUUCCAGGGCCAGGGACUGAAUCCGAGCCAGAGCUGUGACCUACACCACAGCUGCAGCAAUGCUAGAUCCUUAACUCACUGUGCAGGGCUGGGGAAUCAAACUUGCAUCCUCACAGAGACUAUGUCAGGUCCUUAACCUGCUGAGCCACAAUGGGAACUCCUACAAUUUUUAAUGUAAAGUUUUCAUGUUUACAUAUUCUUGUUUCUUUUAUAAUUUACCUUUCUUUAACAAAUUUCUUGUUUCGCUAAUAGCCUCAAGGAUCCUUAACCUAUUUCUACUAAAUGUAUUUUCUGACUACUCUGUUAUUUUCAUUUCUUUGGGGAUAAAUUUUCCUCUGAUUUUGUUCUUCUUUCAUAUUAGUUUCCCUCAUAUUUCUGAGUAUAUAAGCUCAUCCCUUCUUCAUCUGGGGAUUUUCUCCUUUGCCUCCCCAGGUCCUCUGGGUCUCCUGGUCUAGAAUCAAAUCUCACAGUAGCAACUUAGCUUAGCUCCAGGCCCUGUCUCCCUAGGUAAGCAUCUUUGUAAUAAGCCCCAGCCCCAGGGAAUGGGUUACAGCAACUGUUUUCAGACUACUUUCCCAGCCCCUGGGUUCCAGCAGUGUAUCAGCUCUAACUCCAGGCUUUGUAUCCAGCACUCCAUAGCUGGAGUUAUGCGUAAAUCUGUUAUCCCAGAUUUCUAGCCACUUCUGCCUGCAUCCAGACUCAGAGACAAGCAGGCCUACUGCAGCUUCUGCCCUGCUCUCCUUCUGGUGUUCCUGUUCCAUUCCUGUGUGUGUGUGUGUGUGUGUGUGUGUGUGUGUGUGUGUGUGUGUGUCUUUUUGGGGCUGCGUCUGCGGCAUACGGAGGUUCCCAGGCUAGAGGUUGAAUUGGAGCUACAGCUGCCGUCCUUUAAAAAAAAAAAAAGCAUAUGAGAAGGAGACACACCCCCUUAUUCAUGGGGCCAAGGUCAGGCCUUUUAACAUAGUCUCUAGAGAUCCCCAAACCAGGCCACCCUCCUAAGCCUCAUCUCUCAUGGUACCCUAUCCUCUAGGGGUUAUGAGCUAAUUUGGACCACAGGCCAAAUCUGGCCCAUAUAUAUUUUUUUAAUUAACGUGUAAUUGAUUUACAAC
RNAcentral lists this long non-coding RNA (5281 nucleotides) under Sus scrofa (pig). RNAcentral's name for it is "lncRNA (ENSSSCG00055000921.1)". The record is from RNAcentral. Lineage: Eukaryota; Metazoa; Chordata; Mammalia; Artiodactyla; Suidae.